Molecule: ribosomal RNA, 160 nt
Filed under: uncultured bacterium
Lineage: Bacteria
Description: partial 16S ribosomal RNA
Rfam family: Bacterial small subunit ribosomal RNA
Source: RNAcentral
CGCUAGUAAUCGCGCAUCAGCCACGGCGCGGUGAAUACGUUCCCGGGCCUUGUACACACCGCCCGUCAAGCCAUGGAAGCCGGGAGUGCCUGAAGUGCGUGAGCGCAAGCAGCGCCCUAAGGUAAAACCGGUGACUGGGGCUAAGUCGUAACAAGGUAUC